RNAcentral lists this ribosomal RNA (445 nucleotides) under uncultured bacterium. RNAcentral's name for it is "bacterial SSU rRNA". It matches the Rfam family "Bacterial small subunit ribosomal RNA", at positions 217 to 662 of the family's 1533-position model. The record is from RNAcentral.
GGUAUGGGAUGAGCUUGCGUCCGAUUAGCUAGUUGGCGGGGCAACGGCCCACCAAGGCGACGAUCGGUAGCCGGCCUGAGAGGGUGAUCGGCCACAUUGGGACUGAGAUACGGCCCAGACUCCUACGGGAGGCAGCAGUAGGGAAUAUUGCACAAUGGGGGAAACCCUGAUGCAGCAACGCCACGUGUGGGAAGAAGCAUUUCGGUGUGUAAACCACUGUCGUGAGGGAAUAAGGCGUCUUCUCGGAGACGUUGAAUGUACCUCGAAAGGAAGCACCGGCAAACUUCGUGCCAGCAGCCGCGGUAAUACGAGGGGUGCAAGCGUUGUUCGGAAUCACUGGGCGUAAAGGGAGCGUAGGCGGAGAUGCGAGCGGACUGUACAAUACCGGGGCCCAACCCCGGGCCUGCAGUUCGGACUGCACCUCUUGGAUAGUUCAGGGGCAGGC